Molecule: ribosomal RNA, 1242 nt
Filed under: metagenome
Description: bacterial LSU rRNA
Rfam family: Bacterial large subunit ribosomal RNA
Source: RNAcentral
UGAAUACGAGAUGCUAAGGCGUCGAAGUAGUGUAUGUCAUACUUCCAAGAAAAGCUUGCACUGUCAUAAAUAAAGAAUGCCUGUACCAUAACCGACACAGGUGGGUAGGUAGAGUAUACUAAGGGGCGCGAGAUAACUCUCUCCAAGGAACUCGGCAAAAUAACUCCGUAACUUCGGGAGAAGGAGUGCCUUAUUCGUAAGGCUGCAAUAACAAGAUCCAAGCAACUGUUUAUCAAAAACACAGGUCUCCGCUAAGUCGUAAGACGAUGUAUGGGGGCUGACGCCUGCCCAGUGCCAGAAGGUUAAAGAAGUUGGUUAGCAUUAGCGAAGCUGAUAACUGAAGCCCUGGUGAACGGCGGCCGUAACAAUAACGGUCCUAAGGUAGCGAAAUUCCUUGUCGGGUAAGUUCCGACCCGCACGAAAGGCGUAAUGAUUUGGAUACUGUCUCGGAGAGGGGCUCGGUGAAAUAGACUUGUCUGUGAAGAUGCGGACUACCUGCACCAGGACAGAAAGACCCUAUGAAGCUUUACUGUAACUUGAAAUUGAAAUUGGACUUUAGUCGCGCAGUAUAGGUGGGAGGCUUUGAUGAUACUCUUGCGGGAGUAUUGGAGCUAUCAGUGAGAUACCACUCUUCUAAUGUUAGAUUUCUAACUUUGAACCAUUAUCUGGUCAGAGAACAGUUUCAGGCGGGCAGUUUGACUGGGGCGGUCGCCUCCUAAAUGGUAACGGAGGCGUACAAAGGUUUCCUCUGAACGGGUAGAAAUCGUAUCUAGAGUGUAAAGGCAUAAGGAAGCUUGACUGUGAGACCUACAAGUCGAACAGGGACGAAAGUCGGUCUUAGUGAUCAGACGGUACUGAGUGGAAAGGCCGUCACUCAACGGAUAAAAGUUACUCUAGGAUAACAGGCUGAUCUCCCCCAAGAGUUCACAUCGACGGGGAGGUUUGGCACCUCGAUGUCGGCUCAUCGCAUCCUGGGGCGGUAGUACGUCCCAAGGGUUGGGCUGUUCGCCCAUGAAAGCGGUACGCGAGCUGGGUUCAGAACGUCGUGAGACAGUUCGGUCCAUAUCCGGUGUAGGCGUUAGAAUAUUGAGAGGAGCCUUCUUUAGUACGAGAGGACCGAGAAGGACAUACCUAUGGUGUACCAGUUAUCGUGCCAACGGUAAACGCUGGGUAGCUAAGUAUGGAGUGGAUAACCGCUGAAAGCAUCUAAGUGGGAAGCCCACCUCAAGAUGAGUAUUCUCU